This 510-nucleotide ribosomal RNA is filed under the name Ambassis cf. ambassis MV-2022. RNAcentral's name for it is "partial large subunit ribosomal RNA". It matches the Rfam family "Bacterial large subunit ribosomal RNA", at positions 1923 to 2597 of the family's 2925-position model. The record is from RNAcentral. Lineage: Eukaryota; Metazoa; Chordata; Actinopteri; Ambassidae.
UUUAACGGCCGCGGUAUCCUAACCGUGCAAAGGUAGCGCAAUCACUUGUCUUUUAAAUAAGGACCCGUAUGAAUGGCAUAACGAGGGCUUAGCUGUCUCCUUUUUCCAGUCAAUGAAAUUGAUCCUCCCGUGCAGAAGCGGGAAUGACAACAUAAGACGAGAAGACCCUGUGGAGCUUUAGAUAAUGGACUGAUCAGAUAAAAUACCUAAAAUGAGCCAAACUCUGAAUACAGUCCUCAUCUUUGGUUGGGGCGACCGCGGAGAAAUAAAAAUCCUCCAUGUGGACUAAGUGAAUACUACUAAAACCAAGAAAUACAACUCAAAGUAACAGGACCCCUGACUUAAAUGACCCGGCAAGCCGAUCAACGAACCAAGUUACCCCAGGGAUAACAGCGCAAUCCUCUUCUAGAGUCCCUAUCGACAAGAGGGUUUACGACCUCGAUGUUGGAUCAGGACAUCCUAAUGGUGCAGCCGCUAUUAAGGGUUCGUUUGUUCAACGAUUAAAGUCCU